This 478-nucleotide ribosomal RNA is filed under the name uncultured bacterium. RNAcentral describes it as "bacterial SSU rRNA". It matches the Rfam family "Bacterial small subunit ribosomal RNA", at positions 903 to 1397 of the family's 1533-position model. The record is from RNAcentral.
AAAUGAAUUGACGGGGACCCGCACAAGCGGUGGAGCAUGUGGUUUAAUUCGAUGAUAAGCGAAGAACCUCACCAAGGUUUGACAUGUAGCUGCAAGGUCUGGAAACAGAUCCGCCUUCGAGGGUGCUACACAGAUGCUGCAUGGUUGUCGUCAGCUCGUGUCGUGAGAUGUACCGUUAAGUCGGGAAACGAGCGCAACCCUUUUCUUAUGUUUUAUAUGUCAUAAGAUACUGCCCGUUUUAAAUGGGAGGAAGGUGGGAUGACGUCAAAUCAGCAUGGUUCUUACACCUUGGGCAACACACGUGCUACAAUGGAAAGUACAAAGGGACGCCAAAGCGCGAGCUGGAGCAAACCCCUUAAAACUUUUCUCAGUUCGGAUUGGAGUCUGCAACUCGACUCCAUGAAGCUGGAAUCGCUAGUAAUCGUGAAUCAGCUAUGUCACGGUGAAUACGUUCUCGGGUCUUGUACACACCGCCCGU